This 552-nucleotide ribosomal RNA is filed under the name Arthrobacter sp. CL15. RNAcentral's name for it is "bacterial SSU rRNA". It matches the Rfam family "Bacterial small subunit ribosomal RNA", at positions 78 to 642 of the family's 1533-position model. Lineage: Bacteria; Bacillati; Actinomycetota; Actinomycetes; Micrococcales; Micrococcaceae. The record is from RNAcentral.
GCUUGCUGGGGGGAUUAGUGGCGAACGGGUGAGUAACACGUGAGUAACCUGCCCUUGACUCUGGGAUAAGCCUGGGAAACUGGGUCUAAUACCGGAUAUGACUCCUCAUCGCAUGGUGGGGGGUGGAAAGCUUUUGUGGUUUUGGAUGGACUCGCGGCCUAUCAGCUUGUUGGUGGGGUAAUGGCCUACCAAGGCGACGACGGGUAGCCGGCCUGAGAGGGUGACCGGCCACACUGGGACUGAGACACGGCCCAGACUCCUACGGGAGGCAGCAGUGGGGAAUAUUGCACAAUGGGCGAAAGCCUGAUGCAGCGACGCCGCGUGAGGGAUGACGGCCUUCGGGUUGUAAACCUCUUUCAGUAGGGAAGAAGCCGCGAGGUGACGGUACCUGCAGAAGAAGCGCCGGCUAACUACGUGCCAGCAGCCGCGGUAAUACGUAGGGCGCAAGCGUUAUCCGGAAUUAUUGGGCGUAAAGAGCUCGUAGGCGGUUUGUCGCGUCUGCUGUGAAAGACCGGGGCUCAACUCCGGUUCUGCAGUGGGUACGGGCAGACU